GUAAACACGCGUCUUGGCAACGUUGUAUAUUAUUUGAAGACGCGCUUGCGGUAAACUAUCGCGCCCUACCGAAAACCGUAAGUGCUCGGACACAGAAAUAAAUAAAUCUUUGUCGCACGUAAAUCGUAAAAACCUCACCGCACGGGCCGGACAGACGGAGAGGACAGUGGGUAGGUGGGACGUUGGAGCCGAAAUAACGGCCAAACAUUAUUAUACCCGGAUAUUAUUGUAAUACUAUAGCCGGCCGUUAUAGGAGCCGUUAAUCGGCCGAUAUGUGCGUCAGCGUUCGAGACGUGGACAAUACGGUAAUAACGCAUACCCCCUGUCAGGUCGAAUACGGGCAA
Molecule: non-coding RNA, 344 nt
Organism: Cinara cedri
Lineage: Eukaryota; Metazoa; Arthropoda; Insecta; Hemiptera; Aphididae
Source: the annotation of a GenBank genome assembly